UACGUAGGGUGCAAGCGUUGUCCGGAAUUAUUGGGCGUAAAGAGCUCGUAGGCGGUCUGUUGCGUCGGCUGUGAAAACCCGGGGCUCAACUCCGGGCCUGCAGCCGAUACGGGCAGACUAGAGUUCGGCAGGGGAGACUGGAAUUCCUGGUGUAGCGGUGAAAUGCGCAGAUAUCAGGAGGAACACCGGUGGCGAAGGCGGGUCUCUGGGCCGACACUGACGCUGAGGCGCGAAAGCCAGGGGAGCAAACGGG
Molecule: ribosomal RNA, 253 nt
Filed under: uncultured bacterium
Lineage: Bacteria
Description: partial 16S ribosomal RNA
Rfam family: Bacterial small subunit ribosomal RNA
Source: RNAcentral